This 340-nucleotide ribosomal RNA is filed under the name uncultured bacterium. RNAcentral describes it as "bacterial SSU rRNA". It matches the Rfam family "Bacterial small subunit ribosomal RNA", at positions 172 to 507 of the family's 1533-position model. The record is from RNAcentral.
AAUAUUAUUUGAGUGGCAUACUAAUUAAAUAUUAGAAAACUCAGGGUGGAAUAAAGAUGGGCACGCGCAAGAUUAGAUAGUUGGUAGGGUAACGGCCUACCAAGUCUACGAUCUUUAGGGGCCUGAGAGGGUGAUCCCCCACACUGGUACUGAGACACGGACCAGACUCCUACGGGAGGCAGCAGUGAGGAAUAUUGGACAAUGGGUGCAAGCCUGAUCCAGCCAUCCCGCGUGAAGGAAUAAGGACCUAUGGUUUGUAAACUUCUUUUAUACUGGGAUAAACCUACCCUCGUGAGGGUAGCUGAAGGUACAGUAUGAAUAAGCACCGGCUAACUCCGUG